UCCCCAAGGCUGCCCCAGUUGGAACCAGCACUGGAGGCAAGGGGAAAUGUGAGAGGGAGUCGUUGCAGGUUCAGAGCCUCCCUUAACACAAGCAGGAAAGGCUUUGAUGUGGGCAGGUGGUGCCUGGGCAGUAGCAGUAGCCUGGUGCUGGCAGAAGUUUUGCAGACACGUGUUUGCUCUCUGACAGCUACACACCCUCACCGCCCCUGCCCACCCACGCUCUCCUUGUACUGUCUACACAGGCUCUGUGCACGGCCUCUCCUUCUCCUACAUACCUACGUGCUGCACCCUCCCAGCUCUCAGGAACAGCAUCCCUGUCUCCCUCCACAGACGAGCCACCCAUGACAGGAAAAGGGGAGAGAAGAGGGCUGUUGGGCUGCAGCUGUGUCCCUGGAGACAGUCAACUCUGCACUGGUGAAAAGUCAAAGAAAAAUGCAUUUUACAUAAUUUCAGGUCCUAGGUUUACUGGCCAGUCCCUCAGCACAGACUCUGCAACUCCACAAGAGACUCUCCCUUUGCCCGAAGGUUCAGUGCAAAAUGAAAGUGUGUUUCACAUCUCAGUUUCUAGGGAGAGAAGACUGGAGAAGAGAGCGGCUGUGCCUGUCUCCUGCACGUGCACCAGCGUGGAAGGUGAUGACAGCAACCAAGUGUUCAAGGGCUCUUCAUUAGAAAUAACUUUUCUCCCAGUGCCUACAGCUGCUCCCUCCACCGAACCCUGCCCAUAAUACUGUCUCAGCACCAGAGGAAUGGCUGAAUGUUGUGGCAAAACACCCUAUGGAAAAGCUCCAGUAGUGGAAAGAAAAAGAAGGACAAGAGAGGGGGAAGUACUUCAGGCAUUUUGUUCCUGCAAAACUCUGAGCAUCCUCUCCAGGUGUCAGGGUGAUCUUGAAUUCCCGACAUCCUCAGCACUAGAUGUCAUAUCCUGACAACAAGGUGUCAUGGUGCCACUUCAUGGGACUCUUCUUGAUUUCAAGAUACUUUGACUAUCAGGUAAAGUACACAAUAAAACACCUCUAAAAACAUUUGUCUCA
RNAcentral lists this long non-coding RNA (1031 nucleotides) under Zonotrichia albicollis (white-throated sparrow). Its description in RNAcentral is "lncRNA (ENSZALG00000000195.1)". Lineage: Eukaryota; Metazoa; Chordata; Aves; Passeriformes; Passerellidae. The record is from RNAcentral.